AAAGAAGGAAAAUAUAAUUGAAAAAAUAUAUAAGUUUAGAUUAGACAUAAUUUUCAGUUGUUUUGAUAACUUUUAAUGUAAAAGUAUUUUUAUUCUCAUAGCAAUUUUUGUUUUGUAGACAGUUCCUCUAAAACUACAUUUUAUCCAGAAUUGCAGAACUCUAUUAUAAGUCCGGUCUACUUCUUUAAAAGCCAUUAACAUGUUAGUAUUAGCAUAUUCAAAUUGGCAGUUCUUUAUCUGUUUAUUAUUUUAUUGUAGAGUUUACAAAUACACUUCAUGCAGGAAACAAAGAAACACCUUUGAUUUUGGUUAAUGUAUAUAUGUAAAACCAAAACAGCUAAAUCCCAAAGGGGAAAGUAUCAGGGACUGACAGGCUCUCUAAUGAAAUUCACGCGAAGUUUUCCUUAGAAGAGAAUUUAAAGAUGCAACUAUAGAUAUCAUCUCUUUCUCAAAUACUUGGUCUGUUACUGCAAUGUUCUGUUCGUGUUCUAUCAAUUUCCCGAAAGGGAAUAGCCAUAUAAAUUAUCUUCCUUUUGUUAC
This 540-nucleotide long non-coding RNA is filed under the name Bos taurus (domestic cattle). RNAcentral's name for it is "long non-coding RNA NONBTAT027017". Lineage: Eukaryota; Metazoa; Chordata; Mammalia; Artiodactyla; Bovidae. The record is from RNAcentral.